RNAcentral lists this ribosomal RNA (253 nucleotides) under uncultured bacterium. RNAcentral's name for it is "partial 16S ribosomal RNA". It matches the Rfam family "Bacterial small subunit ribosomal RNA", at positions 524 to 776 of the family's 1533-position model. The record is from RNAcentral.
UACGAAGGGUGCAAGCGUUACUCGGAAUUACUGGGCGUAAAGCGUGCGUAGGCGGUUUCCUAAGUCGGAUGUGAAAGCCCUGGGCUCAACCUGGGAAUGGCACUCGAUACUGGGAAGCUGGAGUGCGGUAGAGGAGGGUGGAAUUCCCGGUGUAGCGGUGAAAUGCGUAGAGAUCGGGAGGAACAUCAGUGGCGAAGGCGACCCUCUGGACCAGCACUGACGCUGAGGCACGAAAGCGUGGGGGGCAAACAGG